UGGCAAGGUGAAGUAAGAGGCAGAACUUCUUUGGAGUUAAUAAAAGACGAGAACAAAAAAUCCUGCUGGAACAAAACUCAUCAAAUGCCAUUUCAUAAGGUACAUCCCAGUGGAAACAGGACUUCUUCGGCUAUGCCUUUGAAAGUAAUGCAACCAUGACAGCGGAUGGAAAUGCAUGCAGAGUGACAAGGUGAUGGCAGAGCAAUAUGCUGAUUUUGGCCCAAAGGUUCAUCAGGAAGCUGUAUUUGUUUACUAUCAAAUUAUGAACCAAGACAGCUGCUACCUGUGAAACAUGGAUCUCCUGUUCUUAUUUGCCAGAAUCUUCAGCAGGAAUCAUUAUGAUCCAACUCAGAUAUCCAUUGACUGUUUCAGUUUAAGAUUGGCAUGUGAGAUGAUGAGCAAAUGCAUCUGAAAC
This is a long non-coding RNA of Dromaius novaehollandiae (emu), 415 nucleotides long. RefSeq lists it as uncharacterized. The transcript has 3 exons. NCBI's taxonomy places the organism in Eukaryota, Metazoa, Chordata, Aves, Casuariiformes, Dromaiidae. The record is from RefSeq and is a predicted model, not a curated record.